Biomphalaria glabrata is the source of this 4248-nucleotide long non-coding RNA. RefSeq lists it as uncharacterized. The record is from RefSeq and is a predicted model, not a curated record. The transcript is spliced from 2 exons. Lineage: Eukaryota; Metazoa; Mollusca; Gastropoda; Planorbidae.
GCCAAAGGGAUGCAUCGGCGCCUUCGACAUACAAAACCUUAGCUAGAGCUCUGACCACUGCGCAGCCUAUACGUCAUCACUCGUCAGAGGCCAAGGUUAAGCGCUUAGGCUAAUCACGGCUAAUGCGUCACUGAUGAUGCGUGUGUGCUGUGUUGUGUAGAUAGAAAUGUUUCUUUUGAAAAACAUCUAAAUAUGCUUUAUAAUAGUGUUAGACUUUCUACACAUUCAUUAUGGAUUAAAACUGCAGAUGUACAAUGGUGAACAAAUGCUGUCUUCCGUUUUUGUAAAGGAAAUUAUAAUAAAGAGACUAAAGCACACGUUUUUCAAUUCCCCAAAGAAAACAUGGCUAGCAGCAAUACCAAGGAAGAAUUACAUACCAACAGACUAGGCUUACUCAAGAAUCUGUUAUAAACAUUUCAAAGAAGAAGAUGUAUUGUGGACAGACUCUAUGUUUGAUACUAAGUCUGGAAAAUUACUAACAGCCCCUCGGAGUAGGCCAAGGUUGAAGUGAUGCAAUUCCAUCAAAGUUUCCUGGAUGCCCCAUGCUACUACACAGCGAAGUCAACGACUACAACACGUGAGUGUCAGAGUGUAAAAAAACAGCACUUAGAGAGUGAAAGAAUGGAAAGUGUGUUAAAAGAGAGUGUGAAAUCUCAAGAAGAAUAUGAGAGAAAAAAUAAAAUAAAUGAUUUCUGUCAAUGUAAAGAAAGUGUAAGAAGUAUGAAUGUUUCUUCAUUUCGGAAUGUUAUUUGUCGAGAGGAGUGUAUCAUUUUUGUAAAUUGUCAAGGUUUGGGACCAGUUGAGAUAAUAUAUUCUAUUGUUCUUGGAACAUCUCUUGAUGUUAAAGUUUUCUUUAAACAAACAUAAAUAUUUUGUAUAGGUGAUAAGCAACUACCUAAAAACAUCUCCUAUAUUUAUGAAAUAACAAAUUUGUUAGAACUCAUCAAACAAUAUUCUACCACAAACUACAAUACUAACAGUUUAACUAUUAUUAAAGAAACACUAAGUACACUCCUCAAAAAUGACCAUUAAAUUAGCUUAUUUAUUCUUUCAUCUUGUCCCAAAUGGAACUGAUAGAAAGUAAAAAAAAUAAGUAUAAAUAUAAUUGUGACCUGUUUUUAUUUUCUUCAUUAUUGUUUUUAAUAUCCCCGCAAGCUUAUAAAUAUGUAAGAAACUCUGGCAAUAUUAUUUUACCUCACCCAAUCACCAUUAAAAGAACUUGUAAUUCUUUUAAGAUUGGUCCUGAAUUAGAGCAGAUAGAGGACAAUUUUUUAUACUACAUGAAACAAUAUGUUAGUAGUUUAAAAGAGCAUGAAAAAACAGUGAUUUUAAUGUUAGAUGAAAUACAUCUCAAACAAUUCAUGGACUAUAAGGGUGACAAUAUAGUGGACACUGAUCAUUGUUCAAUUAAUUUGGCAUCUACAGCUCAUGUUUUUAUGAUACAGAGUCUUUUGUCAACUUAUAAAGAUGUUAUUCAUAUUUUACAAGUAAGUUCAAUAUCUGCUGAAGAAUUGCACAAUAUAACAAAGAAAAUUAUUGCUGGCUUAGACAAAAUAGGACUAAAUGUUAUGUGUGUAGUCGCAGAUAAUAAUGCCAUCAAUAGAAAGACCAUGUCCCUUUUUAUGAGCCCUUCUAAAUUAAGCAUUGUCUACCCACACCCUGUUGAUAAGUCACGUCCUUUGUUCUUUGUUAUUGACCCUGUACAUAUUUUUAAAUGUCUAAGAAACAAUUGGAUAAAUUAGAAAGAUGAAAAUAUUUCCUUUGACUUUCCAGAUUUUACUGAUUCAGCAAAACAUUGUAAAGCUUCUUUUCUCACACUUCGAAAAUUGUAUGAACCUGAAAGUGGUAAACUUUUAAAAUAUGGGCAUGGUUUGUCAGUAAAGGCUUCAUGGCCCAGUAGUAUUGAAAAACAAAAUGUUUGUAAAAUGUUUUACAUCAGUGAUGCCCAAAAUACGGCCCGCGGGCCAAAUCCGGCCCGCGACGUGGUUCCAUCCGGCCCGCCGAAAUGUCGGCACAACGUAUAUAAAAUCAGCUUACCCCCCCCCCCCCUCCUAAAGAAAAAGUUUUAAAAUGUCUCUUUUCCUACGUUAGUGCCCUCAAUUUUUCUCCGAUGAUUGGUACCAUGACUAACAUUUGUGCGUUUAUGAGACUCUAAAUGUAGAAUACAUCAUAAACAAAAAAAAAACAACAAAAAACUUUAAAGUGUAGCUGUUUUUUUUUUAAAGAAACGCGAUUAUAAAACAAAUUUGACGUCAUUGAAUAAAAAAAAAUUGUUAAACUACGUCUAGAGAUUGGAAGAUUAAUGUUAAUAUUUACCAAAAUAAAGCUAGCUACAGUGUUGCUCAUAUUUUUAGUAAAGAAAUGAAGCCGUUUUCUGACGCAUGAGAUAAUUCUAUCCCAUUAAUGAAUGUAAGUGCUAGAUCCAGGGGGUUUCUAAUCAAAUAGUUUCAGGUCAAUUUCAUUUCGCUUUUGUACCUUUCCUUUAUGUGGCCUGCGACACCACUGUCGGAAAUUAAAAUGGCCCGCAGGUCGAUUUAUGUUGGGCAUCACUGUUUUACAUGUUUCGGAUGUUCCUUCAGAGUUGAAGAUAGUUUACUUCCUAGUCCAAACCUCCCGCAGGACGAGGGGGGAUGGGAGCGGGCAGGGUUUGAACCCUCGACCGUCGAUAAAUCCGAACGACAGUCCAGCGCACAAACCGCACGACCAGGCAGCCAUCCAUGUUAAGCUAGUUCUGCAAGUUUUUUCAGAAUACAUUAUAGAGGCAUUAAAAGAACUUGGGCUAAAGUAUAGUUUGUUUCAUCUCCACGGCACAGCACACUUUUUAGAAAUAAUUUUACAAUGGUGGAAAAUAGUAAAUGUUAACAAUCCAUUUGUUGGUCAGAGAUGUAAAGAUAAGUUAAAAUAUCCAAUUACUAAUGAUGUCAAUGAUGCAAAUAUUCAUUUUUUAACUAAUUUUCUGAAAUGGCUUGAUAAUUGGUGUACCUUAAGUCCAAUUGUUGGAUGUUUGACAAGAGAAACAUUUACUGCCAUCUCACAUACAACUUAUGCUUUACUAGAAAUUUCUUCUUAUUGUUUUUCUGAGUUAAAACUUAAUUAUGUAUUGUUAGGUAAAUUUCAAACAGACACUUUGGAAGCUAGAUUUGGUUUAUAUAGACAGUUAGCUGGUGCCCAAUAUAACAUUUCCAUUAGGCAUGUUUUUGAAAUUGAAAAAAAAACUUAGAAUGUCAAAUGUCCUAAAGAAUAAACUGAUGAACUGCUUUUUUGAUUUUUCUGUUAACUUUUUUGAUUCUUCACAUGUAAGCACUAGAGUGCCUAGUCAAACAUUAAAUAAAUAUAUGGAUUUAAACGUAGUUGAAGGUGAUUUCAGUUGUUUACAAGCAGACUUACCGAUUGUUACUUAUGUUGCUGGUUAUUGUGCUCAUGUGGUUUUAAAGAAACUGAAUGGAUGUACUGCAUGCAAAGAGUUUUUAUUGUUAGAAAAGAUUUUGGAACUAGAUUCAUCUUUUAAAUUUACAAUUAACUUGGAUAGAGGUGGUCUGAAGCAUCCACAGAAAGCUGUUGUUGAUUUAGUUUUUUACAAUUAUUGUGUUCUAAAUCAAAUGGCUGCCUGGUCGUGCGGUUUGCGCGCUGGACUGUCGUUCAAAUUUAUCGAUGGUCAAGGGUUCAAACCCUGCCUGCUCCCAUCCCCCGUCGUCCUGCGGGAGGUUUGGACUAGGAAGUAAUUAUCUUCAACUCUGAAGGAACAUCCGAAACAUGUAAAACAUUUUACAAACAUUUUACAACUCACUAAUGAAAAUAUGUACUCAUGUUUUUGAAAGAAGAAAAUCAAAGAAAUGUAGCUAUAGCUGUGAACAAAAGUAUAUUAGCUAAUAAUGAGCAUUUUUAUUUAUGCAGUGACUCUUUAGAGUGUCAUGAUAGUCAGACAGUUGUUGACAUGAUUUUAUUUUCAUCAACCAAUUGUUUAUUGAAUAAUUUUAGCAAGAAUAAAAACAACUUAGUAAAAAAAUUCCAACACUAUCAGAAAGUUAUCUAAAUUUAAAAAGAAAUAAAUUAUAUAUAUAUACAUAUAUAUACAUGGGAUAUAUGUAUUUGUAAAAUAACUUUAUAUGAAAUCAUUGUAUUUUUUCAAAUGUGUAUUGUAAAUUAUUGAAGUAUAUUUUUGUGUGUUCAUUAAGCUUUUACAAUAAAAACUGAACUCUUUCAAGUGGUAGAUUUUGUCUGCAAAUAAAAUUGCUAUAUAUAACACCA